CCGUUUUUGAUUGAUUUCAAUCAUAAACAAACUUUUAACUUCGCACAAUCUCACUCUCAUGUGUGAUUGUGUCGCACCAUUAUGUAAAUAACAAGACAUAACACAUCAAACGUUUUGUCUUGUUUAAAACCUUUCCAUUCAACAAAUCAUUGUUGUUUGUCAUUGAAUAUGAAUCGAAUCUAUAACAGAAAAACAAAAAUA
RNAcentral lists this unclassified non-coding RNA (201 nucleotides) under uncultured fungus. RNAcentral describes it as "sequence contains ITS1". Lineage: Eukaryota; Fungi. The record is from RNAcentral.